Long non-coding RNA from Rhinopithecus roxellana (golden snub-nosed monkey), 951 nucleotides. RefSeq lists it as uncharacterized. The record is from RefSeq and is a predicted model, not a curated record. Lineage: Eukaryota; Metazoa; Chordata; Mammalia; Primates; Cercopithecidae. The transcript has 3 exons.
UGCUUGAUUUAUAAUGUGUAAAUGAAGUGUACAUUUGAAUAUGUCAUAGGUGGUGUCCUUAUUCAACUUGGACGAAAAAAAAAGGAGAGAAAAAUUCACAAUUCAAGAGGAUGAGCAGACUUAUCUACUAAUGAGCCAUUGCAAGUCAUCUAGAGGACUUGAGAGAGGAGCCUAGCUCUACUGAAUCCAAGCUGACCUGCUCACAUUUGUGUGCCAUUUCUAUGAGGAAGUCUCUUGAGAAUGCCAACAGCUCAGAUACCUGCUCGUCAUUACCAGAUCUACCCCUCAAAGCACAACGUCUGCUGGUGGGAGGCCGUGGAAUCGGGACAAAGUGCUGCACGGAGGGGCCUUGCCCAAGGCUACGCAGCUGGUGGAUGGGGAAAUCAGGCGCUUGCCAGCCACCUCGCAGGCAGCUUUCCCUCUGAGGGAAGGUGGUGCCUCCGGCCUCUGAGGAGGUAGCUGGGACAGCCUGAAAUGAGCUGCUGAAAGCCUGAAGCUCCAGAAAGACAAAAAACAAGCAACACACAGUGAUGUGGGUGUCACUCGCUGAGGAUGUGCGAUCACACACACACUGCCCGGGUUGAAGUGAAAUGAAUAAUGCCAAUAACAUUGUGAGGGAAUGCUUCAGUGCCUGAAAUGUACAGUGCACGAAUGGUUCCCAAGAUUUGUCAUAUUUUAAUGCUAUUGCCUUAUGUUUGUUCGGUGCUUUCCAGUUUUGAAAGUGCUUUCACAUGUUUAAUCAUUUGCUCACAAUAAUUCUUCAAAGCGAAUAGGUAGAUAUGGGCGGAAUGACAGCUCCCCCUUCCCAAAUUCAUGUGUUGAAACUCUAAGCCCCAGUACUUCAGAAUGUGAUUGUAUUGGUGUGUCGGGAAUUGGUUGGUUCCUUUCAGUGGGUUCUUGGUCUCACUGACUUCAAGAAUUAAGCUGCGAAUGCUCACGGUAUUAAAGUUC